This 30-nucleotide non-coding RNA is filed under the name Rattus norvegicus (Norway rat). Lineage: Eukaryota; Metazoa; Chordata; Mammalia; Rodentia; Muridae. The record is from RNAcentral.
UGAUAAAUGCUUUCUAAAUCAACUUCUUUC